CAAAAGGUGCAUUGGAUUGUACCAUCUGCGCUCCGAAGGGGGGUGGAUCUUAACCAAAGUAAAUGUCUCGUAGGAAACUGAUGGGAACGACCCAAAUCAAAGUUCCCUGCUGACAAAAUGAAUGAAUCUGAGGCUUUAAGCUUUGACCUACCAUAUAACACUGCAACCCGAGUAGCCACGUCACUGAGACCCUAAAGGCCAACUGGGAAAAAAAUAAAACACCUGCAUAAUACUUAAUAGGGGAACAUGGUGAUCUCUUCUCAUGACGUAUACUGAAGUUCCCAUGUAUGCUGGGCACUACACUACAACUUGCUACAGUAUUUUUAAGCAUAAGCUUGUAACCUUUUCUGUCAUUAUCAUUUAAAGGUUAACAAUAUGAAUCAUAAAGUUUCCCAGUGAACUCGCAUAUACAAAAAUGAUCAAACACAUUGUACGUUUGCUUUGGUUAACAGCAUCUGAUAAAUAUUAAAGUUCUUAAAUAAAAUAGUUUCAUAAAUAAUGCUGUAAUUUAAGUUGCUUUUUCAAAACAAGACAAGAGUGUGUCUGCUGCUGUGU
Molecule: long non-coding RNA, 555 nt
Organism: Misgurnus anguillicaudatus (oriental weatherfish)
Lineage: Eukaryota; Metazoa; Chordata; Actinopteri; Cypriniformes; Cobitidae
Source: RefSeq, a predicted model, not a curated record